Molecule: long non-coding RNA, 635 nt
Organism: Gavialis gangeticus (Gharial)
Lineage: Eukaryota; Metazoa; Chordata; Crocodylia; Gavialidae
Exons: 4
Source: RefSeq, a predicted model, not a curated record
ACGCCCCUCUCCGAGGAGGAGGUCUCUUCUGCUGAAAGCAACACCUGCUUUGUCACUGCUCUGGAGCAGCCAGGCAGAGAAAGGCUGUUGGGUCUGGCCAUAAAACUCGAAAAGACCACGUGAUUAGGACACUGGAGCAGUCCUCAAGCACUAAAAAUCAGUCCAAAAUGACGGUCCUGGGGCCAGGGUAGCAUCAUUUGGAAGAAGGGCCCUCUGCAGCGCAGGUCUGGACUCAUCUUUUUUCGCUAAGAAGCUUUCCUAUGGCCAGUCUGAUAAGCAGAGCACAAUAAGAAAUAGGAGUCCACUGAUCCCGUAAAACUCAGAUGACUGCUGGCUUAUUGGGAUUGCACGUCCCAGGCUGCUGUAAAGGAAAUUGCCUUCUUGAUCUAGGACAUGUGAGCAUGAGCAGAUAAAGGAAUUGCCUAGCAAACUUCCAUCCAAAUUCCUACCUAGAGCCCUGGGACCGCAGAGAGAGAUGGUGUACAAAGCGUCUACCUUGUGUGUGACAGGCUACAGCACAGUUUGCAAUAUCUCCAGGUUAAAAUGGUCUUAUGUUACAAUAAUGCUGCAUGCCUCCAUUUCCCUAACUGGCUUUUACGUGGGGGAAGGAUGAGUUAAUGGUGUUUUGAAGUAGA